Long non-coding RNA from Musca vetustissima, 215 nucleotides. RefSeq lists it as uncharacterized. Lineage: Eukaryota; Metazoa; Arthropoda; Insecta; Diptera; Muscidae. The record is from RefSeq and is a predicted model, not a curated record. The transcript is spliced from 3 exons.
GCGGCAAAUAGUAGAGUUAACAAUAUUGGAAAAGGAUUUAAUAUCUGUGAUAGCGGCAAUGAUGAAAAUAAGGGUCCUGAAAAGUUAGGAGCCAUUGUAUUUCCCUCGACGCCCACUCAACAAAUUACAAAUGCAACACCGAGUCCUACAACACCUCGAAAAUCAUCAGAUUAUCCUCUGCAGGCGACAAGUACAACAACGCCACCUGUUGCAGC